RNAcentral lists this ribosomal RNA (482 nucleotides) under uncultured bacterium. RNAcentral describes it as "partial 16S ribosomal RNA". It matches the Rfam family "Bacterial small subunit ribosomal RNA", at positions 28 to 507 of the family's 1533-position model. The record is from RNAcentral.
GACGAACGCUGGCGGCGUGCUUAACACAUGCAAGUCGAACGCUGAAGCUCAGCUUUUGUUGGGUGGAUGAGUGGCGAACGGGUGAGUAACACGUGAGUAACCUGCCUCCUUCUUUGGGAUAACGCCCGGAAACGGGUGCUAAUACUGGAUAUUCACUGGUCUUCGCAUGGGGGUUGGUGGAAAGGGUUUUUCUGGUGGGGGAUGGGCUCGCGGCCUAUCAGCUUGUUGGUGGGGUGAUGGCCUACCAAGGCUUUGACGGGUAGCCGGCCUGAGAGGGUGACCGGCAAAAUGGGACUGGGGUACCGCCCCGACUCCUAAGGGGGGGAAGAGGGGGGAAUAUUGCACAAUGGGCGCAAGCCUGAUGCAGCGACGCCGCGUGAGGGAUGGAGGCCUUCGGGUUGUGAACCUCUUUCGCUCAUGGUCAAGCCGCAACAAUGGUUGUGGUGAGGGUAGUGGGUAAAGAAGCGCCGGCUAACUACGUG